This 253-nucleotide ribosomal RNA is filed under the name uncultured bacterium. RNAcentral's name for it is "partial 16S ribosomal RNA". It matches the Rfam family "Bacterial small subunit ribosomal RNA", at positions 524 to 776 of the family's 1533-position model. The record is from RNAcentral.
UACGUAGGUGGCAAGCGUUACUCGGAAUCACUAGGCGUAAAGCGCAGGUAGGCGGUUUGGUAAGUCCGUUGUGAAAGCUCCCGGCUUAACUGGGAGAGGUCAAUGGAAACUACCAGGCUAGAGUGUGGUAGAGGAAGCUGGAAUUCCCGGUGUAGCGGUGAAAUGCGUAGAUAUCGGGAGGAAUACCUAUGGCGAAAGCAGGCUUCUGGACCAUCACUGACGCUAAGCUGCGAAAGCUAGGGGAGCAAACAGG